Molecule: ribosomal RNA, 493 nt
Filed under: uncultured bacterium
Lineage: Bacteria
Description: partial 16S ribosomal RNA
Rfam family: Bacterial small subunit ribosomal RNA
Source: RNAcentral
AUUGAACGCUGGCGGCAUGCCUUACACAUGCAAGUCGAACGGUAACAGGUUAAGCUGACGAGUGGCGAACGGGUGAGUAAUAUAUCGGAACGUGCCCAGUCGUGGGGGACAACGUAGCGAAAGCUACGCUAAUACCGCAUACGAUCUACGGAUGAAAGCGGGGGAUCGCAAGACCUCGCGCGAUUGGAGCGGCCGAUAUGUGAUUAGGUUGUUAGUGAGGUAAAAGCUAACCAAGCCGGCGAUCUGUAGCUGGUCUGCGAGGACGACCAGCCGCACUGGAACUGAGACACGGUCCAGGCUCCUACGGGAGGCAGCAGUGGGGAAGUUUGGACAAUGGACGCAAGUCUGAUCCAGCAAUGCCGCGUGCAGGACGAAGGCCUUCGGGUUGUAAACUGCUUUUGUACGGAACGAAACGGUGAGCUCUAAUACAGUUUGCUAAUGACGGUACCGUAAGAAUAAGCACCGGCUAACUACGUGCCAGCCGCCGCGGUAA